GUAAGCUGUCGCUAUGGGAUGGCCACGACGGUGCAUUAGCUAGUUGGUAAGGUAAAGGCUUACCAAGGCGAUGAUGCAUAGCCGAGUUGAGAGACUGAUCGGCCACAUUGGGACUGAGACACGGCCCAAACUCCUACGGGAGGCAGCAGUAGGGAAUCUUCCACAAUGGACGCAAGUCUGAUGGAGCAACGCCGCGUGAGUGAAGAAGGUUUUCGGAUCGUAAAGCUCCGUUGUUGGUGAAGAAGGAUAGAGGUAGUAACUGGCCUUUAUUUGACGGUAAUCAACCAGAAAGUCACGGCUAACUACGUGCCAGCAGCCGCGGUAAAU
Molecule: ribosomal RNA, 327 nt
Filed under: uncultured Lactobacillus sp.
Lineage: Bacteria; Bacillati; Bacillota; Bacilli; Lactobacillales; Lactobacillaceae
Description: bacterial SSU rRNA
Rfam family: Bacterial small subunit ribosomal RNA
Source: RNAcentral